Molecule: long non-coding RNA, 1851 nt
Filed under: Homo sapiens (human)
Lineage: Eukaryota; Metazoa; Chordata; Mammalia; Primates; Hominidae
Description: HSALNT0398118
Source: RNAcentral
UCCAGGCUGGGCGACAGAGCGAGACUCUGUCUCAAAAAAAAAAAGAAAGAAAAAAAAGAGUAAGCAGGAGUUCACAAGGUGUGGGAGACUGCUGUGUGUUCACCAAGCCUCAUCUUUCACACCUGGGCACAUGUUGUAGCCCGUUUGCAAAGAUAGCCGUAAUAUUCUCCUGUCCCUGGACAUGCCCUUUGCAAGUUGAUUUUGCCAUUCCUCCCAUUGAGAAGGCACUUUGUCCCCUACUAGUCUGGGUAAGCCUUGAGAGUUGCUUUGACCAAUAGAAUUUGCUAGAAGUGAUAUUGAGCCUAGGCCUGAAGAGGCCUUGUAGCUUCCACUCCUGCCCUAAGACUGUUGCAUGAAGAUACCCAGACUAGUGUCUUUGCAGAUGAACAAUCAUGGUGAAAGAGAAGCCCAGCCGGCAGCCAGCACCAAUCGCCAGCUGUGUGAGUGUGGCCAUCCUGGAUCAUCCAGCCCCAGCUGCCCCACCAGCUGACAGCAGCCACACAAGUGACCCCAGUUGAGACCAAUAAAAGAUCUGCCCAUCUGAUACAGCCCAAACUGCUGAACCCCAGAAUCAUGAACAAAUAAGUAAAAGAAAAGAACACUGGUUGUAUUUUAUGGUUGCACUAUGUCCAGCAGAAAAAGGCAUUCCUCAGUCUCCUUGCAGCAAGGUAAAGCCAUCUGAUAAAAUUUUGUCCAGUUGGAUAUAAGCCAAAAUGUUGCGUGACAAUUUUGGGAGGACUUCCUGAAACAGGUGGACAAACCCUUUUUCUACUGAGUCACCUUUGUGCCACCUGGAACUAACAGUGUGACGCGUGGAAUUUAGGCAGCCAUAUUGAACCAUGAGGACAAGAGCAGUGGGGAUGGCGGAACCAAGAGCUGGAAGGUGCCUGAGUCUCUGGUGAAGAUGUGGAGCUGCUGUAACAGCCCUCAACUCCUAGUUCUGGACUUCUUUUAUGUUUUAGUGUAACGCUUUGGGUAUUUUUAUUUUUUUAAUUUAUUUUAGAGAUGAGGUCUCACUAUGUUGCCUAGGCUGGACUCAAACUCUUAUGCUCAAGCAGUCCUCCUGCCUCAGCUUCAUGAGUAGCUGAAACUAUAGCACUUUGGGUAUUUCAGCCACUGUUUGAGGUUUUUCUAGCACCUCCUGGAAUAUCAAGCUUAACAUGUCCAAUCCUUGCCCCAGAUAUUUUCCUCCCCAAAUUUUCUCAAUCUCAAUAAAUGUCACCACCAUCCACCUGGUUGCUCAGGUCAAAAACCUAGAAAUCAUUCAAGUUCUCUCCCUUUCCCUCAUCCCCAAUAUCCAUUCCAUCAGCAACAUCUGUCCAUUCUACCUCCAAGACAUAUCCCAGAUCUCAUCACCUUUGUCUGCCUCUCCUACCCUCACUCUCAUCCAGCAUCAUCCCUCACCUGGACUCUGCAAAAGCCUACUCGUGGGUCUGUCUGCAUCCCUGUCUGCCUCCUCCAGGGCCAUUCUCCACCCAGUGGCCGGAUCGAUUUUUCAAAGAGGUUGAUCCCAGCUCAACCACUUGCCAUCUGUGUGACCUGUGGGCAAGUGACCUUACCUUUCGGAGCCUCAGUUGCCCCAUCUAUAAAAUGGGAAUGAUGCCAGUGCCUGCCUCAUAAGGAUGAGCCCCGCUCCUGAAGCUCAGGGAGCCCUCUCUGCAAGGCUGUUUUAGUGCAACCUCCGGAAACAUGCCCAUGCAUGUGAAAACUGGCAUGCACAUUCUGGUGCUUUUAAAAACAUCUCGAAGCCUAUCCACAGAUCCUGGACCUCAAGACUGGUUCAGUGCUAGCCCCCCAUUUUACAGAUGUGGAGAAUGAGGCUUAGCGGGUCCCAGGCAAGUCAGUGGCAAA